GCACAUAGGCAGUGGCACCAAGCAGGUGCAGCCUCAGUUGCCGUACAUGGCACAGCCCAAGGAUGACCAGGUGCCGGGGGAGGCACACGAACUGAGUCAGUCAGCCUGAAUCGAGCAGACAGGUGAGGAUGACACCCAGCAGCAGACCUGAUUGUCAGCAGCAGCUGUUUCUGGACUCAGGCGGCAGUGCUGAAUCCAGGGGACAAAGGGAGCACUCACUGUUUUCCCCUUGAGUACUGUGCUCGGGGGCCUGUGGUGUUCCCUCCCCAAGCACUGAGGUUAUUGUUGCCCCUGCACGGCCACAAAGUCAGUGUGUCCCCUCCAGGAGCUAUAACUUCACCCUUUUGUUCUGUCCAUCCCCUAUUUGCACCCAGACCUUUCACCCAGAAGAGUCAGGUGUGAGUGGAACAAGGACCAUAUCAACCCAACGAGAGAAGCCAGGGGGCUGAACCAGAAUUAACUUGGAAUCUCCAAGGCUCCUGUGGGCUGUGCCAGAGGAUGAACCAACCAGGCCGGCCUGGAAAUGUUAGUAGGGGAAACGAAGACGCAUCAUGCCCAGGCCUGGUCAAGGGGGAAAUUUGAGGAAAGAUGGAGAGUGACGUUACCAAUGUGACAGCGUAAGAAUUUCCUAUCGUCCACACCCAAAGGCGCUGCUUAUGACUGUGAAAGAUGACAAGAGUGGAGCCAUAUUAAAACAGAGCCAGAGCAGCCACUUCAGAGGAAUGUCCUUCCACAUCUUGUUUUCUUUAUCUUCCAAACUGGACCAAACCGCCAACAUCCCAAGAAGUCAGCAAGGACAAGAACAUCCUGUCUGUGAGAAGUGAUGGAACUGGACUUUGCUGAUGGCUGAAUCGCUCACCAUCCAUGGGGUACCAGCCUAGCCUCUUGCCUGAUGACUAAAUCUCAAGCCAGUCUACGAGAGUGAAAUAACGGUCACCUGUGGAGGAGAGGACCCUCGUGGGAGUCAAGGAGUCCAGCAGAGAAGUUCCAGGACAGCACUGGGGCAAAACAAUCUGAGACUGGAAG
Equus caballus (horse) is the source of this 1026-nucleotide non-coding RNA. NCBI's taxonomy places the organism in Eukaryota, Metazoa, Chordata, Mammalia, Perissodactyla, Equidae. The record is from RefSeq and is a predicted model, not a curated record.